This 1539-nucleotide long non-coding RNA is filed under the name Dromaius novaehollandiae (emu). RNAcentral's name for it is "lncRNA (ENSDNVG00000002634.1)". The record is from RNAcentral. Lineage: Eukaryota; Metazoa; Chordata; Aves; Casuariiformes; Dromaiidae.
AUGGGGGGGGGGGAAAAAAAACCCCAUCGACACAUCGAGACGCUCGAGCUGGUGCUUCGAAUUCAGCAACGAGCAGGAGGCAUCGGAGAAGGGCAGCGAUAUAUACGGCCUGCGCCCGGGGCCCCGAGCGAAGCAGCGCUGCAGSACGGGGAAGGCAGGGAGGGGACCGGGCAUCGUGGCCUGGGAUCAGCGGGUUGGUGGCACAGAGSGGGAGGAGGAGGAGGAGGAGGAGGGGACGGGAGACGAUACCAUAAUGUCAUCAUUAGAUGCCUGGAAAAUAAAAGGCAAUUUUCCGAAUUAAAAGCAAGGCCAAAAACCCUCCGGCCGUCGCGGCGCGCGGAGGGGAAGGGCCCCCGCACUCACUCGUCUCCUGGAUGUGGGUCUCGAAGCUCUGCGUUUCCCUCGGGUCGGCCCCGCUCGCCGGGGCGGGCGCUGCCGGCCCCACGCCGUUCUCCCGCGGGGCAUCGCCGGCCCCGGGCGCCUCGGCAUCGGCAUCGCUCCGCGGGGCCGGCGGCAGCGGCCCCGGCUCCUCGCUGCCCUCCGCCUGCAGGAGACAACGGGGUGGGGGGACGACGGGGACGGUCAGCAGCGGACGGGGACGGCGGGGAGCGGGACGGGGCCUCUCUUGCUUCCCCAGAAGCUGCAGGGACUUGGGAGAUGCCCCCACCUCCAGCAAGUCACGGAGGGCGGCUGAGCGAGAGCAGCCCCUCGCCCAGGACCUACCUGCAACCCCGCAGGCGCUGACGCCCCAGCCCGCACCACGCAAUGACAACGGUGCUGGCCAAGAGCUGCGAGAUGCCACCAGGACACGCCUGGCCCUCUAUCACUAGGUGAGACAUCAGAGCCAACAAAAAACAAGGGAUGAGAAUGCCACGGACAGACUUUGUACCAUGGAGAUGGGGUGAAGUCAGACUCGGUCCAAGCAAGUAACUUCAAYGAAACCCCCAGUUACCAGCAAACAGCAGCGGCGUGCUUGGCAUGGACCAAGCCCUGCAGCAACCCAGACGAGCCAGGCACAGUCCCGGCACGUCGCCCGUCCCUCCCCCCUCAUCCGCUACUGCCGUAGCUGCUUUCAGCCUUUCACACGCUGAGCUCAGACUUGCAGGGCCGAGUUUUACAUCAACAGUUCAAGAUAGGAGAGUCCUGACGCGGCCCCAGCAAGUAUCUGGCAGCCACCUCUUGCCUUGUUUUAACCGGGAUGAUUAAACACACACUAAACAUUCCUGGGAAUUGUGCCGCACGAUCGGCUCUUUAGGAUGGGGAUGAUGUCCUUCCGAUCCGUACAGCACCGGCUCUCCCCGGCUGAACUCCGGGCCCUUCCCACCACAGCAGCGCUCGCACAAAACAGCGCUGGGACAACCACAGCAGCCCGAAGUCUGCAGAAGGGGUUUCUUUCCUCACUUUUUCCCACUGCGGGCAAAGACUGACCCACAUUUUCCCAGUUCUGAUGCUGGAAGAGGGCGGUUUUCCCAGCUCCCAGUGCUACCAGCCAGUUCAGGAUUGCRAAUAAAAGCCCCAGCGCUAGCGACCGUCUAAACA